GAUGAACGCUGGCGGCGUGCCUAAUACAUGCAAGUCGAGCGAACGGACGAGAAGCUUGCUUCUCUGAUGUUAGCGGCGGACGGGUGAGUAACACGUGGAUAACCUACCUAUAAGACUGGGAUAACUUCGGGAAACCGGCGCUAAUACCGGAUAAUAUUUUGAACCGCAUGGUUCAAAAGUGAAAGACGGUCUUGCUGUCACUUAUAGAUGGAUCCGCGCUGCAUUAGCUAGUUGGUAAGGUAACGGCUUACCAAGGCAACGAUGCAUAGCCGACCUGAGAGGGUGAUCGGCCACACUGGAACUGAGACACGGUCCAGACUCCUACGGGAGGCAGCAGUAGGGAAUCUUCCGCAAUGGGCGAAAGCCUGACGGAGCAACGCCGCGUGAGUGAUGAAGGUCUUCGGAUCGUAAAACUCUGUUAUUAGGGAAGAACAUAUGUGUAAGUAACUGUGCACAUCUUGACGGUACCUAAUCAGAAAGCCACGGCUAACUACGU
This 496-nucleotide ribosomal RNA is filed under the name uncultured bacterium. RNAcentral describes it as "partial 16S ribosomal RNA". It matches the Rfam family "Bacterial small subunit ribosomal RNA", at positions 28 to 506 of the family's 1533-position model. The record is from RNAcentral.